GAUACGGGACUCAUCCNAGGCCCNGUAAUCGGAAUGAGAACACUUUAAAUCCUUUAACGAGUAUCCAUUGGAGGGCAAGUCUGGUGCCAGCAGCCGCGGUAAUUCCAGCUCCAAUAGCGUAUAUUAAAGUUGUUGCGGUUAAAAAGCUCGUAGUUGGACUUGUGUCCCACGCUGUCGGUUCACCGCCCGUCGGUGUUUAACUGGCAUGGUUCGUGGGACGUCCUGCCGGUGGUGGCGAGUCGAAGGUUCGCGCCCGCUCCGGCUCACGCCGCGAGUGAGGUGGCGUACUGUAGACGGACCCCGAUGAAAUCCUACCGCGGUGCUCUUCACCGAGUGUCGAGGUGGGCCGGCACGUUUACUUUGAACAAAUUAGAGUGCUUAAAGCAGGCCUGUUGCGCCUGAAUACUGUGUGCAUGGAAUAAUGGAAUAGGACCUCGGUUCUAUUUUGUUGGUUUUCGGAACCCGAGGUAAUGAUUAAUAGGGACAGUCGGGGGCAUUCGUAUUGCGACGUUAGAGGUGAAAUUCUUGGAUCGUCGCAAGACGGACCGAAGCGAAAGCAUUUGCCAAGUAUGUUUUCAUUAAUCAAGAACGAAAGUUAGAGGUUCGAAGGCGAUCAGAUACCGCCCUAGUUCUAACCAUAAACGAUGCCAGCUAGCGAUCCGCCGAAGUUCCUCCGAUGACUCGGCGGGCAGCUCCCGGGAAACCGAAGCUUUUGGGUUCCGGGGGAAGUAUGGUUGCAAAGCUGAAACUUAAAGGAAUUGACGGAAGGGCACCACCAGGAGUGGAGCCUGCGGCUUAAUUUGACUCAACACGGGAAACCUCACCAGGCCCGGACAC
Molecule: ribosomal RNA, 837 nt
Filed under: Cnemotettix bifasciatus
Lineage: Eukaryota; Metazoa; Arthropoda; Insecta; Orthoptera; Anostostomatidae
Description: SSU rRNA
Rfam family: Eukaryotic small subunit ribosomal RNA
Source: RNAcentral